GAUACAGACAUAGACACCAAUGUGGACUUGUUUGACCCACCUCAGGCUUCACGAUCAACUGACCUCUGCCAAGAGGCAAGUGAAGAAGAGGAGAGUCUACUGAUGGAUCAAUCCAGAUCCAGUGUUAACAUGCAACAGGAAGUGAUGGAUGCUCUGAAAGAAAUACCAGCCUUAGUCAAGUGUGUCACAGAUCUUAUUACAACCAUGAAGAGAAUG
Molecule: long non-coding RNA, 216 nt
Organism: Cololabis saira (Pacific saury)
Lineage: Eukaryota; Metazoa; Chordata; Actinopteri; Beloniformes; Belonidae
Exons: 3
Source: RefSeq, a predicted model, not a curated record